GUAGAAGCAUUGUGCGGCGAGUGAGCGGCAAAGCUCAAUUUGAAAUCUGGCGCCUUCGGUGUCCGAGUUGUAAUUUGAAGAUUGUAACCUUGGGGUUGGCUCUUGUCUAUGUUUCUUGGAACAGGACGUCACAGAGGGUGAGAAUCCCGUGCGAUGAGAUGCCCAAUUCUAUGUAAGGUGCUUUCGAAGAGUCGAGUUGUUUGGGAAUGCAGCUCUAAGUGGGUGGUAAAUUCCAUCUAAAGCUAAAUAUUGGCGAGAGACCGAUAGCGAACAAGUACAGUGAUGGAAAGAUGAAAAGAACUUUGAAAAGAGAGUGAAAAAGUACGUGAAAUUGUUGAAAGGGAAGGGUUUGAGAUCAGACUCGAUAUUUUGUGAGCCUUGCCUUCGUGGCGGGGUGACCCGCAGCUUAUCGGGCCAGCAUCGGUUUGGGCGGUAGGAUAAUGGCGUAGGAAUGUGACUUUACUUCGGUGAAGUGUUAUAGCCUGCGUUGAUGCUGCCUGCCUAGACCGAGGACUGCGAUUUUAUCAAGGAUGCUGGCAUAAUGAUCCCAAACCGCCCGUCUUGAAACACGGACC
This 575-nucleotide ribosomal RNA is filed under the name Meyerozyma guilliermondii. RNAcentral describes it as "eukaryotic LSU rRNA". It matches the Rfam family "Eukaryotic large subunit ribosomal RNA", at positions 70 to 667 of the family's 3401-position model. Lineage: Eukaryota; Fungi; Ascomycota; Pichiomycetes; Serinales; Debaryomycetaceae. The record is from RNAcentral.